GUCUAGGGUAAAAAUACCUUAAACAUUUGCCCCUCACAGGUCGCACGUGCAUGUCACGUGGGGCCUGUGACACGUAUCCACCUUUCAUAGGUGAACAGUAACGGGUAAAAUUUUGAAUUUCAAAUCAAAAUUUUCCCCCCGCUUUUACUUUCUAUAAAUAGAAAGUUACCCCCCCUCCUUUUCACACUUUACGCUCAUAUUGACUUUUUUGAGAGAGAAAGAGAGAUUUCUAGAGAGAGUUUUCUCUGCUCCCACCUGCAUAACAACAAGUUUCAAGCUUCCGAGUGCUAGCAGUACAUCACCCGGUUCACCGGCUGUAGCGGUUUUCAGAUUUUCCAGAGUCAAAGCAAGGUAACCGCCUGUACCAUUUUAGCUUUCCUCCCCUUCAAUUUACAUACCAUUUUUCUUUUUUUCGCCUGUAUGCCCGGCUUUCUUUAGAAAAUAGAAAAUAUAAAUGAGUUCCCAAUCCAACCACUCGGCACUGCCUAGGACACUCAGCCGAUCCCCCGGAACCAAUAUGCUCAUCUCCGAAUUCCUCCCUCUCUGUGUCUGUGCAGGACACAAUGGCCAAAACGAAACAAACGGCCAAGCGGACUAAAAGCCGGCGCACCAUGAGAGUGCCAGCCGAUGAGGUUUUCCCGGAAGGGGAUCCGAGGAAUUUGGAGGAGAGCGGAUCUGACGAAGAGGCUCCCUCUACCUCCGGGAGCUCGGGAUUAAGAGAGGUGGACGGCGAAGGAGCCGCCUCCUCAAAUGAAGCUGGCGACGCUGAAGCCGGCCAGGGACCAAGAGCGGAAUCCUCCGGCUCUGACCAAGGAGAUUUUGCGGCUGACUAUCAGCAGCCGCCCAAAGUUGCUGACUAUCCCAACCCCAAAAGAACCUGGAUGCUGCCGAGUAACAUUGCCCUUCUUAAUAGCGGGUUCAGGGCUUUUAAAGAGAAACAUCCAUUUGGAAAGGGUUGGGAGGUUAUUGUCCCUCCGGCUGAUGUUGUGAUGGCCUUGGGGGAUGACAUUGACCAUGCAGAUGACUACUUCAUCUGCUAUGAGGCGGUAAUAGAAGUCGGCCUCCGGUUCCCCCUCCACCUCGGGAUUAGGAAAAUCCUUAAGGGGUAUGAUCUGGGGGUUUGGCAGCUCACCCCUAAUUCGUGGGUGAACAUAUUAAGUUACAUUGCCGCCUGCGAGUUCCAAAACUUGAACCCCAGCUUCUCUGCCUUCGCUCACAUGCACUACUUGAGCAAGGCUCCAGGCGGCCAUGGGGCAUGGUAUACGCUGACUACCCUGCCCCAAUAUCUGAUGACUUUGGACAAAGUGUCCAAGUGGUCCGAGUGGAAGGACAAGUUCUAUUUGAUUUCCUCUCCAACCCUAAGACACAACCGGACACUACGCCGGUAUAACACUGAGUCGGCUCUUCUUGGACGUAAAUGCCCUCUCCCGGCACUAUCUACUAAAGCCCGGGAGCAAAUCAUGGAGCCGGGAUUUUUUGAGACAACACUGAGCCCAUGGGGGAUGGGACUCACAUCAUAGUUCCCAAGAACUGGAUCCCCCAUUCGGACUUCUUCAAAGAUGAGUGCUUCUUGUCCGCCUGCGGACUGAGUACGAUGUUUUCCAGGGGUAGAAUACUUCUCAUCCGGAAUGAUUGUCAUUUUAUUUUUAUUGCAAACUUGCCUUAAUUCUUUCUAACUUGACAUUCUUGUUUUUGCAGAAGAAGCCCUGAGGAUGGUUGACCAGGAUAAGACUCCUGCUAAAUCUGCGGCGCAACUGCGCAAGGAGGCGACCCUUGUCAAAAAGGCAGCCGUCGAGGCUACGAAGAAAGGCGGGGUAAGACCGCCUGACUUUAUGUUUGCAUUUUUUUUUUUUUUUUUUAACAUACCGGUUGGGUAUACUUAUAUUUUGCUUCUUUCUCAGGAGUCCGCCAAAAGAAUCCCUCGAUCAUUCUCCAAGCUUCUCAAAAGGCAGGGAGAUGAUCUGGAGAAGGCUCCGGCUGCCAAAGCCACAAGGAAGGAUCCCCCCCAGAAGCAAAGUUCUGCCCAAUCUGGUCGUCCAACGACUGGGGGCAAAUCCCCCUGCUGUUCUGAAGAAACUGAGUGAAAGCUCAGAACAGCAGAAAGCGCCGGAGGCCUCUACGGCUUCGAAGGGUGGCGAGCCACCUAAGGUUGCAGGCGGUGCGGCAACCGCUGGGGGGAGGACAAGCCGGAGACCCAUCCGGAAGUUUACGAUCUGCUUCCUAACCCGCCGGAUCUCGCCGGCUUCGCGAAGCGGAUGGUGAGGACCCUCACCCGGUCUGAGAAGGCCUCCGUACCUGAUCUGCAGGUCGUGGACUUUGACCGGAUAAUGGGCUCUCUGGCUGAGGCUAUGGUGAGAGUGGACAAUCUCCGGGUCCCUUAGGCGGAAGCAAGAAGAGGUAAAUGACGCCAAACGGAGGGCCCUAGAAAACCUCAACUUUGCUGAACAUUCUGAUUAUAUGUGUAAUUUAAAGAUUAAAGCAGUAGAGUUGAAACAGGAGGAGCUGAUCCGGAGUUUGACGGCUGCAAACGAUGAAGCUAACAACCGGGCUGAUGACCUUGAUAAGCAGCUGAAAGAUGCCAAAUCUAAUCUCAAGGCAUUAGAAGAUGCUGACAAGGAGAAUCCCCAACUCCGGAUUGACAAUGACCGCCUAAAGCUUGAGCUCAUGACCUUGCGCAACAAGCAGUCGGAUGAGCUGGCCCAGGAGCAGACCCGGCUGACUGAGGAGAAUGAACGGGACAACUUGGCCCGGCUGAAGAGGGGCCUCCUCUACCUAGAAAUAGACUUUGAGGUCUAUAAGCUGAGGUAUGAUUAUGCCACUGAGGUGUAUGAUGCCCAGCAACUGGGUGAUGCUCCUCCGCCUCGCUUCCAAGACUGGGCUGCUGAGGAGGGAUAUGAAGUCUCGGAUGAUGAGGAGCCGGCGGAUGAUCAUCAAGAGGGCCAAGCCAGCCAAACUCAGCCAGAGAAGACUCCGCCUCAGCCUUAGGCGAGCCUCCCACCUUUCUGCAGCAAUAUGCCAAUCAAUGUUGUUUACCGGCUUGCAUGCCGUGUUUUGUUUUAUCUUUUUACCAACCAUGGGGUUGGAUUAACAUUUCCACUUUCUUUCUUCACCAGAUGUGUCCGGUUAACAAUUAUUCUGGCCUUUAUGCCAUUUCAAAUAUAAAUGAAGUAUUCCGACACAGUCGGAUUUUAUAUAUGUCUGUUUUGAGUUUUUUCAAUUUGAAUUUUUUAUGUGUAUGCAAUUCUUUAGUA
Molecule: RNA transcript, 3251 nt
Organism: Chenopodium quinoa (quinoa)
Lineage: Eukaryota; Viridiplantae; Streptophyta; Magnoliopsida; Caryophyllales; Amaranthaceae
Exons: 3
Source: RefSeq, a predicted model, not a curated record